Manis javanica (Malayan pangolin) is the source of this 995-nucleotide non-coding RNA. Lineage: Eukaryota; Metazoa; Chordata; Mammalia; Pholidota; Manidae. The record is from RefSeq and is a predicted model, not a curated record.
GCUCGGGGAAGGAGGGAGGUGCCGCGGCUUGGAGGCUCCGGUCGUUCUCGCGGUGGGUCGGGCCUUGACUCUUCCCGCGUGCGAAGUCGAGGCUCAACCGGAACCGGGGGCGACGCACGGAGCGGCUGAUGCAGUCAUGGCAGACUACUGGAAGUCACAACCAAAGAAAUUCUGCGAUUACUGCAAGUGCUGGAUAGCAGACAAUAGGCCUAGUGUUGAAUUUCAUGAAAGAGGAAAGAAUCAUAAGGAAAAUGUGGCAAAGAGAAUCAGUGAGAUUAAACAGAAAAGCCUGGAUAAAGCAAAGGAAGAAGAAAAGGCAUCAAAGGAGUUUGCUGCAAUGGAGGCAGCUGCCCUGAAAGCAUACCAAGAAGAUUUGAAAAGGCUUGGCUUGGAGUCAGAAAUUUCAGAGCCAAGCAUAUCACCAGUAGCCAGCACUGUCCCACCUCCCAGUGCAUCAAAACAGCAGAAGGAAAAAAAGAAAAAGAAAAAAGAUCCUUCAAAGGGCAGGUGGAUAGAAGGCAUAACCUCUGAGGGUUACCAUUACUAUUAUGAUCUCAUCACAGGAGCAUCUCAGUGGGAGAAACCUGAAGGAUUUCAAGGAAACUUAAAAAAGGCAGCAGUGAAGACUGUUUGGGUAGAGGGUCUCAGUAAAGAUGGCUAUACCUAUUAUUAUAAUACAGAAACAGGAGUACACAAGUGCCAGAUGAUAUUCAUGCAAAUCUUCACAGUAUGAUUUCACUUUGUGAGGAUUCCAGGAAAUGUGUCUUCAUGAUAAAUGAAUUCUGGGAAAUCUGAUGUGUACUUACUAUCACAUAUGUUUACUGAAAUUGCCAUCAGAAUCCAGAUGGGAAAAGCCUGAUGAUUUCAUUCCACACACUGGUAAUCUGCUUUCUAGUAAAGCCAGUGAAAAGUCACUUGGCACCCUGGAGGAGUCCAAAUCAUCAGAUGUGCACAGUGAUUCUGAUGGGGAAAAGGAAGCAGAAAAAAGAGAGGUC